GUGCACCAGGCGCGAAUACUUUACAAUGUGCGAAAGCACGAUAAGGGAACUCUGAGUGCCUCCUAAGGAGGGCUGUUCGGGGUGUCUAAAAAGCACCUGAAGGAAGGGCUGGGUAAGACCGGUGCCAGCCGCCGCGGUAACACCGGCAGCCCAAGUGGGUAGCCACGUUUAUUGGGUCUAAAGCGUCCGUAGCCGGCUGGGUAAGGUUCCUUGGGGAAAUUUGGCUGCUUAACAGUCAAGCUUUCAGGGAAUACUGCCC
This 259-nucleotide ribosomal RNA is filed under the name uncultured microorganism. RNAcentral describes it as "partial 16S ribosomal RNA". It matches the Rfam family "Archaeal small subunit ribosomal RNA", at positions 330 to 589 of the family's 1478-position model. The record is from RNAcentral.